This 406-nucleotide unclassified non-coding RNA is filed under the name Hevea brasiliensis (rubber tree). The record is from RNAcentral. Lineage: Eukaryota; Viridiplantae; Streptophyta; Magnoliopsida; Malpighiales; Euphorbiaceae.
AGAGAGAGAGAGAGAGAGAAUACAAGGUGUGUAUUUUGGCUUGUACAAGAAACCCUAGUUUUCAGCCUCAGUCGUCAGUGACAAUUGAGUUCUAUUAACCUAUGUCAAUUGAAGAAAUCUGGGAAUAAACUAAUUAAAAAGAUAUGAGAUGGUGAAAUAUUUCUAUAUUUUUGAAGAAUUAAUACAUAAAAAAUAUGACCCAUUUAGGUUUUUGAUACAUAUCUAUCAGUAGAAAGAUUUGAGUCGAAAGAAAGACAAAAGAUAAAAUUGAAAAAUCUGAACAAUAACUCCUAAAAAUUAACAUCCCAACAACCAACAAGCUACAACUUAGAAAAAUGGAUCAGGUCACGGGUUGAUGAGUUCAUUCAUCAACGAAUAAAGAACACAGAGAGAGAAAGAGAGAGAG